GAAUUAGACGAACUUCAACUAAAGUGGUGCCGACGGAACAAGCCAUUAGCCACUCCGACCGAAAAAUAUUCAAUCCAACUAAGUGCGGAGCGACGUCGUCAGGGUUAGUGCUUCUUUUAAUCAAUUUUACAGUGUUCAAUAGGGGUGGGCAAAAUACCCAACCCGACCCGAUCCGAAAAAAUUCGGGUUCGGAUCGGUUCGGGUUGUUAUUGAAAUCCGAAUGGGUGAAAAAUUACAAACCCGAUCGGGCUGUGAUCGGGUCGGUAAAACCCGAUUCGAUCUGAAUAUCCGAUCGGGUCACACCAAAAAAAAAAAAAACCUGACUAAAUCUAUAAACACAUCACACAUGCACACACCACACACCACACACAAGGGCGCACACAAAGUCUCAACUAAAAAACAAUUAGCUAAAAAACAAUUGACAAAUAAAAAACAAAAUCAAAUUAUAACCCACGCACACAACCAUAUCUCGCUACUUUCACAGCCCUCAUCUUCACAGCCCUCUCAUCUUCACAGCCCUCUCAUCCUCACACUCAUGACUUCACGUGCACAAACACAUCCUCAUCCUCAUCCUCACGCUCAUGACUUUCACAGCCUGCAAACGCAGAGAAGAGAGCGGAGGAAGCACAGCCAGCGCAUGUAGCCACCUAACCCGCGACCGGAUCUACUGCUCCGCAACAUCCGUAGCUACCAGAUCUGCUGUUACCGGAUAUCUACCAAAUCUGCUGUUGCCGGAUAUCUACCGGAUCUGCUGCUACUAGAUCCGAUGCGCUGCUAUCGGGUCAGAUGCUGCUGGAUCUGCUGUUGCAGCCUCCACCAUCACCAGGAUCUGCUGUUGCAGCCUCCACCAUCACCAAGCUCCACCGCGAACUGGCAAUCUGAAUUCUUUUUUUUUUCUUGCUGUUUUGAUGGUAUAUAAUACUAUAUUAUAUAUUAUCUGUUAAUCGCUAAAUAUAUGUAUUGUUAAAUGUUAAUAAUAAAAUGAGGGAAAUUCUUGUAUGGAAAAUUUUGGAGCUUAAUUUAUUAAGUCCGUGGAAGCUUAAAUUAUAAGUAUGAAUUGAUUUUUUUUUUGUUUUGUUUUUAGUGAAUAGAUUAAGCACUAAAAUUAAAUAUUUUACUUUGAUCUGUGUAGUAGCUUCACUCGAUCCGAAUUAGCCCGAAUUUAAUCCGAUUAUUUGAC
This 1180-nucleotide long non-coding RNA is filed under the name Citrus x clementina. RNAcentral describes it as "Citrus clementina (C. clementina) long non-coding RNA (CCLE_LNC004626)". The record is from RNAcentral. Lineage: Eukaryota; Viridiplantae; Streptophyta; Magnoliopsida; Sapindales; Rutaceae.